RNAcentral lists this ribosomal RNA (121 nucleotides) under Salmonella enterica subsp. enterica serovar Typhimurium. Its description in RNAcentral is "partial 16S ribosomal RNA". It matches the Rfam family "Bacterial small subunit ribosomal RNA", at positions 1 to 117 of the family's 1533-position model. Lineage: Bacteria; Pseudomonadati; Pseudomonadota; Gammaproteobacteria; Enterobacterales; Enterobacteriaceae. The record is from RNAcentral.
UUUUACGGAGAGUUUGAUCCUGGCUCAGGAUGAACGCUGGCGGCGUGCUUAACACAUGCAAGUCGAACGGAAAGGCCCUGCUUUUGUGGGGUGCUCGAGUGGCGAACGGGUGAGUAACACG